RNAcentral lists this ribosomal RNA (466 nucleotides) under uncultured bacterium. RNAcentral's name for it is "partial 16S ribosomal RNA". It matches the Rfam family "Bacterial small subunit ribosomal RNA", at positions 28 to 507 of the family's 1533-position model. The record is from RNAcentral.
GAUGAACGCUGGCGGCGUGCUUAACACAUGCAAGUCGAACGGAAAGGCUCCUGCUUGCAGGGGUACUCGAGUGGCGAACGGGUGAGUAACACGUGGGUGAUCUGCCCUGCACUUCGGGAUAAGCCUGGGAAACUGGGUCUAAUACCGGAUAGGACGAUGGUUUGGAUGCCACUGUGGAAAGUUUUUUCGGUGUGGGAUGAGCUCGCGGCCUAUCAGCUUGUUGGUGGGGUAAUGGCCUACCAAGGCGUCGACGGGUAGCCGGCCUGAGAGGGUGUACGGCAGCAUUGGGAAUGAGAUACGGCCCGGACUCAGACGGGAGGCAGCAGUGGGGAGUAGGGUACGAGGGGCGCAAGCCUGAUGCAGCGACGCGGCGUGGGGGAUGACGGCGGUCGGGUUGUAAAAGCCUUUCGCGAGGGACGAAGCGCAAGUGACGGUACCUGGAGAAGAAGCACCGGCUAACUACGUG